GAGUUUGAUUAUGGCUCAGGACAAACGCUGGCGGCGUGCUUAACACAUGCAAGUCGAACGAUGAAACGGAACGGAAAUUUUCGGAUGGAAGUUCUGUGGAUUAGUGGCGGACGGGUGAGUAAUGCAUGAAGAACCUGCCUUUCACAUAGGAAUAGCCUCGGGAAACCGGGAUUAAUACCAAAUGACACUCCGAGAUCGCAUGGUUUUGGGGUUAAAGAUUUUAUCGGUGAAAGAUGGCUUCAUGUCCCAUUAGCUGGUUGGUGAGGUAACGGCUCACCAAGGCGACGAUGGGUAGCCGGCCUGAGAGGGUGAACGGCCACAUUGGAACUGAGACACGGUCCAAACUCCUACGGGAGGCAGCAGUGGGGAAUAUUGCACAAUGGAGGAAACUCUGAUGCAGCGACGCCGCGUGAGCGAUGAAGGUCUUCGGAUCGUAAAGCUCUGUCCUAAGGGACGAUAAUGAC
This 464-nucleotide ribosomal RNA is filed under the name Tissierella sp. canine oral taxon 029. RNAcentral describes it as "bacterial SSU rRNA". It matches the Rfam family "Bacterial small subunit ribosomal RNA", at positions 9 to 455 of the family's 1533-position model. The record is from RNAcentral. Lineage: Bacteria; Bacillati; Bacillota; Tissierellia; Tissierellales; Tissierellaceae.